This 205-nucleotide ribosomal RNA is filed under the name Pseudoalteromonas distincta. RNAcentral's name for it is "partial 16S ribosomal RNA". It matches the Rfam family "Bacterial small subunit ribosomal RNA", at positions 1 to 212 of the family's 1533-position model. Lineage: Bacteria; Pseudomonadati; Pseudomonadota; Gammaproteobacteria; Alteromonadales; Pseudoalteromonadaceae. The record is from RNAcentral.
UUAAUUGAAGAGUUUGAUCAUGGCUCAGAUUGAACGCUGGCGGCAGGCCUAACACAUGCAAGUCGAGCGGUAACAGAAAGUAGCUUGCUACUUUGCUGACGAGCGGCGGACGGGUGAGUAAUGCUUGGGAACAUGCCUUGAGGUGGGGGACAACAGUUGGAAACGACUGCUAAUACCGCAUAAUGUCUACGGACCAAAGGGGGCU